This 86-nucleotide transfer RNA is filed under the name Candidatus Hatepunaea meridiana. RNAcentral's name for it is "tRNA-Leu". It matches the Rfam family "tRNA". Rfam says of the family: Transfer RNA (tRNA) molecules are approximately 80 nucleotides in length. Their secondary structure includes four short double-helical elements and three loops (D, anti-codon, and T loops). The record is from RNAcentral. Lineage: Bacteria; Pseudomonadati; Candidatus Electryoneota; Candidatus Electryoneia; Candidatus Hatepunaeales; Candidatus Hatepunaeaceae.
GCCGGAGUGGUGGAAUUGGUAGACACACCAUCUUGAGGGGGUGGCGUCUAAAUACGGGCGUGCCGGUUCAAGUCCGGCCUCCGGCA